RNAcentral lists this transfer RNA (58 nucleotides) under Hydrangea barbara. RNAcentral's name for it is "partial tRNA-Phe". The record is from RNAcentral. Lineage: Eukaryota; Viridiplantae; Streptophyta; Magnoliopsida; Cornales; Hydrangeaceae.
AUGCAUGGGGAAUGGUCGGGAUAGCUCAGCUGGUAAAGCAAAGGACUGAAAAUCCUCG